RNAcentral lists this long non-coding RNA (359 nucleotides) under Homo sapiens (human). RNAcentral describes it as "HSALNT0237551". Lineage: Eukaryota; Metazoa; Chordata; Mammalia; Primates; Hominidae. The record is from RNAcentral.
GCAGCUGGAGCCUGGUCUUCAGGUUUCAACAUGAUUUUCUCUGCGGUGCUCCUGGGACAGAACAUCCGCAUUCCUGAGUCAUGGCUGUCGGAUCUGUUUCUCCAGUGACGGGACUGGGUCCAUGCUGACUCAUGGGACACCCACAUCAGGCUCUCCCAGGGUCCAGGGCCAUGCACCGUGAGCACGGCUGGCCUGGAGGGCUGACAGUCAUGGGUGGCUCUGGGGAAUUGGCGGCUCUUCUGCAACAGAACCAGCAAACUUGGUCUCAUUAAUACAAAGCCCUGAGUUAACCCUCUAGCCAGAGGUGUUUCUCAUAAAGUCACUUUGCGUCUGAUUCAUCUCUUGGCUGGGUUGGAAGG